UGGAACCUGCGGAAGGAUCAUUACCGAGAGAGGAAGUKUAACUCGCUUCCCGGGUGCCUCGGCCCCGACUCUUCACCCUUUGUCGAUCAAUCCCGUUGCUUUGGUGGGCCUCGGGCAUCGUCCCGCACGGGUUYCGUGCUCCACCACCCGUGAGCGCCCGCCGGAGGCCCGUCUUCAUCCAGUCUGAUACGCGGUGUCCGAGCGGAAAACGAGAAAAUGGCUCAAAACUUUCAACAACGGAUCUCUUGGUUCCAGCAUCGAUGAAGAACGCAGCGAAAUGCGAUAAGUAAUGUGAAUUGCAGAAUUCAGUGAAUCAUCGAAUCUUUGAACGCACAUUGCGCCCUUUGGCAUUCCGGAGGGCAUGCCUGUUCGAGCGUCAUUGUACCCUUCAAGCUCGGCUUGGUUUUGGGAUUCGCCUCCRCGGCGAUGCCGAAAAGCAUUGGCGGCUCGACGUGGACCCUCGGGCGUAGUARUYCUCGCUCGGAGGACGCACGUGGGCCAGCCCCAGGUCGCCAUCCACGAUUGACCUCGGAUCAGGCAGGGAUACCCGCUGAACUUAAGCAUAAAA
Molecule: ribosomal RNA, 568 nt
Filed under: Neoprotoparmelia aff. isidiata D GS-2015
Lineage: Eukaryota; Fungi; Ascomycota; Lecanoromycetes; Lecanorales; Parmeliaceae
Description: eukaryotic LSU rRNA
Source: RNAcentral